ACAUAAGACAUGCAAGUCGAACGGAAGUACGUUGUAAUGAUGUGGACAUGAACGGAGAACUUGUUCAAGAGAGUGAAAAUUGACUUACAACAAUGGCUUAGUGGCGGACUGGUGAGUAAUGUAUAAGUAACCUGCCUAUCAGAGGGGAACGAACAGUUGGAAACGACUGCUAAUACCGCAUAUGCCAUAAGGGAGACAUCUCCCAAGUGGGAAAGGAGCAAUCCGCUGAUAGAUGGACUUAUAUCUGAUUAGCUAGUUGGUGUGGUAACGGCAUACCAAGGCGACGAUCAGUAGCCGGACUGAGAGGUUAAACGGCCACAUUGGGACUGAGAUACGGCCCAGACUCCUACGGGAGGCAGCAGUCGGGAAUAUUGCGCAAUGGAGGAAACUCUGACGCCAGUGACGCCGCGGUGCAGGAAGAAGGUUUUCGGAUUGUAAACUGCUUUAGACAGGGAAGAAAAAGGACAGUACCUGUAGAAUAAGCUCCGGCUAACUACGUGCCAGCAGCAGC
This 511-nucleotide ribosomal RNA is filed under the name uncultured bacterium. RNAcentral's name for it is "bacterial SSU rRNA". It matches the Rfam family "Bacterial small subunit ribosomal RNA", at positions 46 to 518 of the family's 1533-position model. The record is from RNAcentral.